RNAcentral lists this ribosomal RNA (907 nucleotides) under uncultured bacterium. RNAcentral describes it as "bacterial SSU rRNA". It matches the Rfam family "Bacterial small subunit ribosomal RNA", at positions 8 to 916 of the family's 1533-position model. The record is from RNAcentral.
AGAGUUUGAUCCUGGCUCAGGAUGAACGCUGGCGGCGUGCUUAACACAUGCAAGUCGGACGAACCAUAUUCGUAUGGUUAGUGGCAGACGGGUGCGUAACACGUAGGUGACCUGCCCUCGAGUGGGGAAUAACUCGACUAACGUCGAGCUAAUACCGCAUAGGUUCGUUGAUUCGGUUCAGCGAGUAAAGCAGCAAUGCGCUUGGGGAUGGGCCUGCGGCGGAUUAGGUAGUUGGUGGGGUAAGGGCCUACCAAGCCGAUGAUCCGUAGGGGGCGUGAGAGCGUGGCCCCCCACACUGGAACUGAGACACGGUCCAGACUCCUACGGGAGGCAGCAGUGAGGAAUCUUGCGCAAUGGGGGAAACCCUGACGCAGCAACGCCGCGUGAGUGAGGAAGGUCUUCGGAUCGUAAAGCUCUGUCGGGUGGAAAGAAAUGUAUGGGGUUAAUAGCCUUCAUACUUGACGGUACCACCAAAGGAAGCACCGGCUAACUCCGUGCCAGCAGCCGCGGUAAUACGGGGGGUGCAAGCGUUGUUCGGAAUUAUUGGGCGUAAAGAGCGUGUAGGCGGCUUGGUAAGUCAGAUGUGAAAGCCCUGGGCUUAACCCAGGAAGUGCAUUUGAAACUGCCUAGCUUGAGUAGGGGAGAGGGAAGUGGAAUUCCUGGUGUAGAGGUGAAAUUCGUAGAUAUCAGGAGGAACACCGGUGGCGAAGGCGACUUCCUGGCCCUAUACUGACGCUGAGACGCGAGAGCGUGGGUAGCAAACAGGAUUAGAUACCCUGGUAGUCCACGCCGUAAACGAUGUUCACUAGGUGUUGGGGGUAUUGACCCUCUCAGUGCCGGAGCUAACGCAUUAAGUGAACCGCCUGGGGAGUACGGUCGCAAGACUAAAACUCAAAUGAAUUGACGG